GACGAACGCUGGCGGCGUGCUUAACACAUGCAAGUCGAACGGAAAGGCCCUGCUUUUGUGGGGUGCUCGAGUGGCGAACGGGUGAGUAACACGUGAGUAACCUGCCCUUGACUUUGGGAUAACUUCAGGAAACUGGGGCUAAUACCGGAUAGGAGCUCCUGCUUCAUGGUGGGGGUUGGAAAGUUUCGGCGGUUGGGGAUGGACUCGCGGCUUAUCAGCUUGUUUGUGGGGUAGUGGCUUACCAAGGCUUUGACGGGUAGCCGGCCUGAGAGGGUGACCGGCAAAAUGGGGACUGAGAUACGGCCCAGAGUCCAACGGGAGGCAGCAGUGGGGAAUAUUGCAAAAUGGGCGGAAGCCUGAUGCAGAAACGCCGCGUGCGGGAUGACGGCCUUCGGGUUGUAAACCGCUUUAGCAUGUGACGAAGCGUGAGUGACGGUAAUGGGUAAAGAAGCACCGGCUAACUACGUG
RNAcentral lists this ribosomal RNA (468 nucleotides) under uncultured bacterium. RNAcentral's name for it is "partial 16S ribosomal RNA". It matches the Rfam family "Bacterial small subunit ribosomal RNA", at positions 28 to 507 of the family's 1533-position model. The record is from RNAcentral.